UGUGAUUAAAAGCUGUAAAACUAAUUAACUCAUAUAAGAAAGCUAUAUCUCUAGAGCAACGGAUAAUAGUAAACUUGAGCAGAAUCAGCCAAAUUAUAUGAAAACAAAUUCCAGCAAACGAAAUGGUACAUCAUAAGUAGUUCAACUGGGACUAGCAUCUGCAAUGAAGACUUCAUUUCAUUUUUGAUAAAAUAUUCUGAGAGUUUGUACAGAUGAUCUUUGGUCAAAUAAACACUGCACACUUCAGUCAAUAAUUAACAUGGUAUACCUAAAUAUCCCCAUCCUCAUCACUGUUCCGAUUCUUGAGAGUAACUACAGCAACAAUCUGCAGUAAAGUUCUCAAUAUAUUCAACUAGCUCAAUUGUAAAUGCUUGGGGUGACGC
Molecule: long non-coding RNA, 383 nt
Filed under: Nicotiana benthamiana
Lineage: Eukaryota; Viridiplantae; Streptophyta; Magnoliopsida; Solanales; Solanaceae
Description: long non-coding RNA (NBEN_LNC002092)
Source: RNAcentral